GGGUCGAUGCCCGAGCGAUUAAUGGGACGAACUGUAAAUUUGUUGGCAAUAUGUUUACACUGAUUCAAAUCUAGCUCGGCCCA
Molecule: non-coding RNA, 83 nt
Organism: Cajanus cajan (pigeon pea)
Lineage: Eukaryota; Viridiplantae; Streptophyta; Magnoliopsida; Fabales; Fabaceae
Source: Rfam